This 432-nucleotide ribosomal RNA is filed under the name uncultured bacterium. RNAcentral describes it as "partial 16S ribosomal RNA". It matches the Rfam family "Bacterial small subunit ribosomal RNA", at positions 338 to 795 of the family's 1533-position model. The record is from RNAcentral.
CCUACGGGAGGCAGCAGUGGGGAAUAUUGGACAAUGGGCGAAAGCCUGAUCCAGCCAUGCCGCGUGUGUGAAGAAGGUCUUCGGACUGUAAAGCACUUUAAGCUGGGAGGCGUUACCGGCAGAAUAAGCACCGGCUAACUCUGUGCCAGCAGCCGCGGUAAUACAGAGGGUGCAAGCGUUAAUCGGAAUUACUGGGCGUAAAGCGCGCGUAGGUGGUUUGUUAAGUUGAAUGUGAAAUCCCCGGGCUCAACCUGGGAACUGCAUCCAAAACUGGCAAGCUAGAGUAUGGUAGAGGGUGGUGGAAUUUCCUGUGUAGCGGUGAAAUGCGUAGAUAUAGGAAGGAACAUCAGUGGCGAAGGCGACCACCUGGACCAAACUGACACUGAGGUGCGAAAGCGUGGGGAGCAAACAGGAUUAGAUACCCUUGUAGUC